This is a non-coding RNA of Potamilus streckersoni, 74 nucleotides long. Lineage: Eukaryota; Metazoa; Mollusca; Bivalvia; Unionida; Unionidae. The record is from the annotation of a GenBank genome assembly.
CGCUCUGAUGGCCUAGUGGAUAGAGCGUCCGCCUUGGAUGCGGGAGGUCGAGGGAUAGAUCCCCGGUCGAGUCA